UCACACUGAAUUUUAUUCCCUUAACAGAACAUAGAUAUGCCUCUGCUGAUGCCUCCCUGCAAGGAUGUGAGGAGGUAUUCCACAUCUCUGAAAGGGACGUGUGUGUGAAAGCACACUCAGGCCAAUAUGAUGUGGUUCGCUGUGGAACGAAGAAGGCGUGCCUUGUGGCCAUGUGGGUGAGCUACACAGACUUUUGUCUACCUCCCCAGAUAGGUAUGAGGACAUAAGGGGGAUGUGCUUGGAGGAUGCAGCCUCUGAGGUGAAUGGGACGUUUAAAUGCCUCUCCUCUAGGCCCAUUGCCUUUCGACCGGUGCCUGGCUCAGUCCGCCAUUCCCCCGAGGUACAACGCCCAGUCCCAUCUUCCCAUGCUUUUACGGGACAGGGCAUGCACAAAGUCCCAGUCAUAUGAGGGUGUCAUUACCCCGGAGUUGAUGGCAUCAAUCCAGGAGGCCAGUCAGUCAAGGGCUACUAAUUUGGCACCGAGAGGCCGCAGUACAGAUGUCCAAGGUGACGAUGAAAUGGAGGCAAUAAAAACCUUAGACGCUGACACUAUUACAUACCAUGUCCUUAAG
Long non-coding RNA from Alosa alosa (allis shad), 572 nucleotides. RefSeq lists it as uncharacterized. The transcript has 3 exons. Lineage: Eukaryota; Metazoa; Chordata; Actinopteri; Clupeiformes; Clupeidae. The record is from RefSeq and is a predicted model, not a curated record.